UACGUAGGGGGCGAGCGUUGUCCGAAGUUACUGGGCGUAAAGGGCGCGUAGGCGGCCUGUUAAGUCGAACGUGAAAUCCCCGGGCUCAACCCGGGAACUGCGUCCGAUACUGGCAGGCUUGAAUCCGGGAGAGGGAUGUGGAAUUCCAGGUGUAGCGGUGAAAUGCGUAGAUAUCUGGAGGAACACCGGUGGCGAAGGCGACAUCCUGGACCGGUAUUGACGCUGAGGCGCGAAAGCCAGGGGAGCAAACGGG
This 253-nucleotide ribosomal RNA is filed under the name uncultured bacterium. Its description in RNAcentral is "partial 16S ribosomal RNA". It matches the Rfam family "Bacterial small subunit ribosomal RNA", at positions 524 to 776 of the family's 1533-position model. The record is from RNAcentral.